RNAcentral lists this ribosomal RNA (917 nucleotides) under uncultured bacterium. RNAcentral describes it as "bacterial SSU rRNA". It matches the Rfam family "Bacterial small subunit ribosomal RNA", at positions 8 to 916 of the family's 1533-position model. The record is from RNAcentral.
AGAGUUUGAUCAUGGCUCAGAAUCAACGCUGGCGGCGUGCCUAACACAUGCAAGUCGAACGCGAAAGUCCCGCAAGGGAUGAGUAGAGUGGCAAACGGGUGAGUAACACGUGGGUGACCUGCCUUCGAGCGGGGGAUAACGUCCCGAAAGGGACGCUAAUACCGCAUGACAUCCCGCCUUUGAAGAGGUGGAGAUCAAAGCUGGGGAUCGCAAGACCUAGCACUUGAAGAGGGGCCCGCGCCUGAUUAGCUAGUUGGUGGGGUAACGGCUCACCAAGGCAACGAUCAGUAUCCGGCCUGAGAGGGCGGACGGACACACUGGGACUGAGACACGGCCCAGACUCCUACGGGAGGCAGCAGUGGGGAAUUGUUCGCAAUGGGCGCAAGCCUGACGACGCAACGCCGCGUGGAGGAUGAAGACCUUCGGGUCGUAAACUCCUUUCGAUCGAGACGAAUGGCUUCCGGGUAAACAAUCCGGGAGAAUGACGGUACCGAGAGAAGAAGCCCCGGCUAACUCCGUGCCAGCAGCCGCGGUAAUACGGGGGGGGCAAGCGUUGUUCGGAAUUACUGGGCGUAAAGGGCUCGUAGGCGGCCAACUAAGUCAGACGUGAAAUCCCUCGGCUUAACCGGGGAACUGCAUCUGAUACUGGAUGGCUUGAGAUUGGGAGAGGGAUGCGGAAUUCCAGGUGUAGCGGUGAAAUGCGUAGAUAUCUGGAGGACACCGGUGGCGAAGGCGGCAUCCUGGACCAACACUGACGCUGAGGAGCGAAAGCCAGGGGAGCAAACGGGAUUAGAUACCCCGGUAGUCCUGGCCCUAACGAUGAAUGCUUGGUGUGGCGGGUAUCGAUCCCUGCGUGCGAAGCUAACGCAUUAAGCAUCGCUGGGGGAGUACGUCGCAGCUGAAACUCAAGAUGACGG